CCGUUCCCGGGAUUUCGGGGAUGACACGGGGGCCAGUGGCCCUGUCUGGUGUGAACCGUCAGCACAGAUGGCCUCCGGGAGCUUCCCCGAGUCGUUCGCUGGGGGAAGCGGGCGGUGAGCGGUCGGCCGGGGCGCUCCGCAGGCCGCGAGCUCCUGGCAGGGCUGGUGGCGGGGGUCCGCCUGGGGGAGGAAUCCCCGCCUGCUUCAUCGGACCCGGGCUGGCGCGGCUCGCGGCGCUCGGCGGGCUCCCUUCCAUUCUAGAAUCUUCCCGCUUGCUUCCCAGCCCGCGUUCUCCCGCCCGCCUUUAAUUGUGUAAGUUUGACGAAGUCACAGCUUUGGGUUCCAGGAAAAGCGCAGGAGAGUCAUACAGGAAGGGAGGGCGCAGGUUGGAGUCAGGUCCAAACAGCCCCUAUUGCCACUUUUG
RNAcentral lists this long non-coding RNA (424 nucleotides) under Pongo abelii (Sumatran orangutan). Its description in RNAcentral is "lincRNA". Lineage: Eukaryota; Metazoa; Chordata; Mammalia; Primates; Hominidae. The record is from RNAcentral.